UUCUAGAUUCUCCAUUGCGCAUUAGUUAAUAUCCACAUAGACAUAAUGUUACAGUAACAUCAUUCUCGAUCAUUCACGUCAAAGAAAACCCUCGUCUAUUUCUUCCAUCUAACCCUACAAAGAGAAAGAGGCAUCUCUAGAUUCUCCAUUGCUCAUUACUGCCAUCAUCAAUCACUCAUUCGUGGAUUCAUCGUCACCACUCAUCGGUCAUCAGCUCGUCACCAACACUCACCGGUUUAGACUUCAAAUUAAGUGAUUUUGUUAUGUCAAAAACGAAUGACUAUAUUGAAAUGGAAGAUGAGACGAUUGAACUUGAAUGUAACACUCAAAAUCAGGAAGACCAGGAAAGGAAAGAAAAUCCAUAAGUCAAAGGAGUCAACUCGUCGAGUCCAAGGAGGAACUCGACUUGUCGGAGCGUGACCCGUGUCGCGGAUCAAGUGACCGACUCGGCGAGUCUGGUCUGGAUUGAAAAAUCCUAAUUUCCAGACUUGGUACCCUAUUUAAGCAUCAUUUCAGGCCUCCACCCCAGCCUCCAUCACUCCCUUUACCUACUCUCGAAACUGUAAGAAUAAAAAUGUUGUAAUAAGUCGAAAGGUGUAGGUUGUCAUACGAAGGGUUUCAUGUCUUCGUAUGUUAUGUAUUUAUUUUACUAAGGAAAUGUAUUCAGUGCGCUUCACGCUUA
Molecule: long non-coding RNA, 682 nt
Organism: Lactuca sativa (garden lettuce)
Lineage: Eukaryota; Viridiplantae; Streptophyta; Magnoliopsida; Asterales; Asteraceae
Source: RefSeq, a predicted model, not a curated record